AUCACUCGUAGCAAGCUGUCCACGAGAACAUGGAUAUUUCAUAGCUGUCCACGAGAACAUGGAUAUUUCAUAGCUGUCCAUGAGAACAUGUUUCCAGUUUCCAUUUAAUCAUCAAAAAACAAUUUCCACUAUUUUUAAUGAUUUUUUUUUAUAGUUAUUAUUUUUAUGUUUUUUCGGAACAAAAUAUGUCCGAUUUGCUUUAAAUUUUGUCAAAAUAAAAGGUAAAAACAAUAUUUUUGUGGUUGAUUUUAGUAAAUGUGUGUCUCUAGAACAUCUGUGUACAAUUUGAGUCUGUUCCAAAGUCAUUCAGUUAGUCAAAAUAUUAUUUUUUCAAUUUUGCCUGUUUUUGACGGAUUUGGGGAAAACGCUGCUUACGUAUGGGUAUAUAAAAUUAGCUUCAAAAAACAAAGUUAUGAACCGAUUGUCAUAAUUGAAAAAGAUUAAUGAUUCUCAGGUGUUUUUCUAACUGUGUGCAAAAUUUCAGGUCUGUAGCUCAAAAAUUGAAUUUUGGUUGGCACAUGCUACCUAUAUUUUUCGAAAUCCUCAAUUAAAAAAUAUCUAUUACUUAAAUGACCAAAUAUUCCUGUCUUGUUUUACUUUAAGGUGGUCCUUAACCUUUUGUCAGUUGUAUUUAUUUUUAUAACUUACUUGCACCACCGGCACUGUUUGCGGGAGUUCCAACACCUCCUAUAGAAUUCAACUCAUUGUUAAAAAUAUAAUUUGCGGGUCACGGAAAGAUAACUCUGUUUGGAAACAUGGUUUGGUGUAGAGGAGUAACCGAAGUUGGCCGAGUGAAAUCUGCAGCCGGUUGCCGAGUGAAAAAUAGAAAGUAACUCAUUGAAGAUCCAGUAUUGUGCGUAAGGUUUAGCUUCUACCUACUUUUACGAAAUUUCUUGAUUUCUUGAUCAUUUUAAUUAAAAGCAAAGCGAUUAUGGCUGAACUUUGUCUCUUCGGCCAUUCUUUCAUUGAUCGUGUACGAUCGAGCGUAGGUUAUAGACUACCACUUCAGUUGGGUGGGGGAGGACGGAUCCAUCAUGUUUUCCGCAGUGGUGGGACGUCACGAAAUUUAAGACAGGAUGUAGGAAAGAUUCCUGUUAGUGUUGCUGUGGUUUUCGUUCAGACUGGGGGUAAUGACAUAGGUCCACAUCAACAGACUGUUCACAUUGCUGACGACAUAAUUAACUUUAGUUAAUUUGAUUCGUCAGCAAUGUCCAUGGGCUGUUAUUGAUAUUGUUGUGGGCAGUUUGUUUGUUCGCCGCAAACCUCGUCAUCUGGAUGAAAGCCAGUACAACACGGUUAGGGUUACUGUGAACAACCUGCUCCGCCACAGGUUGUCAUUUUUAUAUCGAGUGCUUUUUGGGAAUUCCAGUCGGAAGAUGAGGUAUAGGGCAUUGCACUUCGAUCAUUGGGGAGUUCACCUUAAUGCUGCAGGCAAUCGUCUUUUUGCGAAUUCGGUUCUUGCAGCAUUUAAGAUGGCUCUUUCCCUAUUCAACGAGUGAACUGUUCACUUAUUAAUUCUAUCGUUGUCCCUUUUCUUGGUGGGAGCAUUAUUGUUGAAUAAUGCACCACAAUAACGGCUACCGGUAGCCUUUAAUUUUGAAAGCUGAACCUUAAAAACGUGAAUGUGGUGUUUGAGUUUUGACAUAAUAUAAUAUGACUGAUCUACAAAACACAUUAUUAGAAAUAUCAGGUCAAAAGAAUAUGCAUGACAACCAAAAAGGAUAAUAAAGUAGAAGAAAUAACAGGUGAAACAUUUAUGAUUAUAAUAGCUACAGGUGAACGUCCCAGACCUAGUUCUAAAGAAUAUACAAUAACCUGUGAUGAUUUAUUUUCUCUACCAUACUGUCCCAGUGAAACACUAUGUAUUGGUGCUUCGUAUGUAUCAUUAGAAUGUGCUGGAUUUUUAGCCGGAUUAGGUUUAGAUGUAACAGUUAUGGUACAAUCUGUAUUAUUACGUGGUUUUGAUCAACAGAUAGCAGAAUAUAUGUCAGAACAUAAAAGAUUUUUCCACAGAGGUUAUGUUCCUAUGAAGUGUGAUUAUCAGACUUUAGCAACAACAGUAUUAUUCCAAUUGAAUAUGGUUGUAUUGGUUAUUCAGAAGAAGCUGCACUUGAAAAAUUUGGAGCAGAUAAUAUAGAGAUAUUUACUUAUAACAAAGAGAAGUGGAGGUGAUACGGCUGUAGCAGGUUGCUGAGAUUAAUUAAUUCCCUGUUGUUACUUAAGAAAAACAAUUACCUCUCUUAAAUAACAUUUACCAUCAUACUUGAAGUGAGGAAAUCAUAUCCAAUUCUAGAUAUUAAUUUAACUUAUUACAAAUUGAAUUGAACUUAUUAAAAAUUGUCUCAAUUUUCCGGUGAAAUUCAUUAAAGGUUUUGAUAUAUGAUAAAUUUACUUUUAAGAGAAUUCCUAUUUAAGAUGUGUGUAUUUUGUUUUUCUUGACGACAACAGGGGUCAAAUUGACCAGGUCAUGUUGAGGACAGGUGCACAGAUGUGUACACAGGCUGUAUGAUAGAUUUUUUCUGAAACCUACCUGUAGGGUAAACAAAACUUGAUGAUACCUAUCUCCAAAACAUGGCGUUUAUGAAAAGGACUUUAUUGUAUGAGAAAUAAAGUCAUAUGCUCUUUUAA
Molecule: long non-coding RNA, 2628 nt
Organism: Patella vulgata (common limpet)
Lineage: Eukaryota; Metazoa; Mollusca; Gastropoda; Patellidae
Exons: 7
Source: RefSeq, a predicted model, not a curated record